GACGAACGCUGGCGGCGUGCCUAACACAUGCAAGUCGAACGGAACUGCUUCGAAGGAUUUCUUCGGAAUGACAUUGAUUCCAGUUUAGUGGCGGACGGGUGAGUAACGCGUGAGUAACCUGCCUUCAAGAGGGGGGAUAACCAUUCUGAAAAGAAUGCUAAUACCGCAUGACAUAUGAUUGUCGCAUGGCAGAUAUAUCAAAGNUUUAUCGCUUUGAAGAUGGACUCGCGUCCGAUUAGUUAGUUGGUGAGGUAACGGCUCACCAAGACCGCGAUCGGUAGCCGGACUGAGAGGUUGAACGGCCACAUUGGGACUGAGACACGGCCCAGACUCCUACGGGAGGCAGCAGUGGGGGAUAUUGCGCAAUGGGGGCAACCCUGACGCAGCAACGCCGCGUGAAGGAUGAAGUUUUCGGAUUGUAAACUUCUUUUAUUAAGGACGAAUAAUGACGGUAC
RNAcentral lists this ribosomal RNA (455 nucleotides) under uncultured bacterium. RNAcentral describes it as "bacterial SSU rRNA". It matches the Rfam family "Bacterial small subunit ribosomal RNA", at positions 28 to 478 of the family's 1533-position model. The record is from RNAcentral.